RNAcentral lists this long non-coding RNA (5740 nucleotides) under Sus scrofa (pig). RNAcentral describes it as "lncRNA (ENSSSCG00060053894.1)". Lineage: Eukaryota; Metazoa; Chordata; Mammalia; Artiodactyla; Suidae. The record is from RNAcentral.
UACCCAUGGCAUGUGGAGGUUCCCAGGCUAGGGGUCGAAUCGAAGUUACAGCUGCCGGCCUACACCACAGCCACAGCAACUCAGGAUGCUCAACCCACUGAGCAGGGCCAGGAAUCAAACCCACAUCCUCAUGAAUCCUAGUCAGAUUCAUUUCUGCUGUGCCACGAUAGGAACGCCACAGACAAGACUCCAUCAAUACUGUGCUAAAAAGACAGUUAUCCUUGACUUCAAAAUGAAUGCAGCAUUUCUUCCAGCCCAUGCUGGACCAACUCAACUCUGGUGACGUACUGUGUGUCUGGCACUGGAAAGGCCUGGAGAAAUCAGCCUCUUAACCCGGCAAACCUCUUGCCUUUCACUGUAAUGUUAGAAGCUCCUUCCUACUGUGCUGGAGGGUCAUGCAGGUGCUUCACUUCCAAAAGUCCUUUACGUUCUUGACAAGAACUUUCUAAAGGCCGGCCCGGUGGCCAUCCAGCAAGUCCAUGGAGUGUUGACCCAGUUUCAAUACGGUUUUUUAAAAAUGAGGGUUAACAACAUGCCCAUCUGUGGCCACAGUUGGGAAGCUGCCAUGAGAUUUCUUCCCUGUUUGAAGCCGGGUUUGGGUAGCUGGAAGCAGACUGGCUUGUGCUGGCAGCUCCAAGCCAGUUCAUGCAUAAUUCAUCCAAAUGGAUGGAACAGGCCCAUCAGGGACAAACCUUGGCCUGUUUUCCCCAGUUCAUCAUCAGAUUUGCUCUCUGUUUUGAUCUCAGUGGCCCUGUAAUCCUUCCCCUUUGCUAUCGACGAAGCUAGUGUUAGAUAAUGACGCGAGUUAUCGGUGGCAGAUGGACCAGGACCCUUCUGAUGAACACAGACAGGUUUCAAGCCCAGCCAAUGAGCCAGGAGGGGGGAGAAAGCCCAAGAACGGGAUUACACACAUGAAGAAAAGCAGCCCCCACCUAGGUAGGGUGAAAGAUGUGAAACGGCCAGAGAACCCACGUUUAAAGCCCCAUCCAUCACCCGGUCCUCCGUCAGGCCCCGAGAUGAAACAGCUUCCCAGCAUCUGCGUCCUGUGAUUUUGGGCUCUGAACAUUAUUUCGUUAGGAAGUGACUGAGGAGGACGUGCUGUAAUGCAUUUUGUGUCACUUUUCCAGAGGCUGUAGGUUACAAAUGGUCUGGGUUAAUCAGAAUUAUAAAUGAGCAACUUCAUUUCCAAGGUUUUUUUCCUCACAUCAUGAGCUGCUCAGGCCUGCGUCCCCAUCUUCUUCAGCCUCUCACCCAGCCAAGGGAAAGCCAGACUCCCUGCUCCUAUCAAGAAGCCGGCCAUGAGCCUACCCUGCAAAGCCCUCUGGCAGCUUCCCGGGGCCCGGGAGAGAUUCUUCACAACCCCAGUCCCUUCUCCCCUGCCUCCUUGCCUGCUCACGGCCUCAACUUCCAGCCACUCUGCUCUUUUUCUCCCAGGUGGAUCCCUCUGGAAUAGAAGCGGAUGGCACUUUCCACAGCUGUAACUAAUUAAUUAAUUGUGCGACGAUGGCUCAGAGCAACUCCGUCUCUGUAAAGUGCAGGCUCCACCCAAGGGUUUCCAUCACCUUGGGAACAGGCUUUGGUCGCUGGGGACAGAGGCACCUGUGCCGACAGCUCCCAGCCCAGUCUGGGCAUCAAUCCCAGAGGUGGACAGAACCGGACACCGUGCUUUACUCACUGUGUACCCCCAAGGGCCCACUAGAGCACCCAAGGCAGAGCCGGGGCUCACAAGACACCCAUGCCAUGAGCCAAAUAAACAAGUGAGCAAACCAACCUCAGUGCUACAAAGGCUCAUCAUCACUGCAUCUCCCUCCUCCUGCAUCUGGGGAAGGACAGCAUCUAAGACAUGCAGCUCCCUGGUCUUGGUGCAGAACCAGAAUCCAAGUCUGACGGUUGACAGUCCACUGUUCUAUCAUCAUUCCCAAGCUGGAGGCAGGGGACAAGGACCCACAUGGCCACUGCAACAUGCUAGAUGCAUUCCAUUCCUCCUAGAACUGAUGCUCCUGGACUGUUAGCAAGUUAACAGUCGGCUAGAGCCGAGCCAGACUUCUUGACUGGGCCCUCAGGAAACUGUGAAUUGUCAAAAGUCUAUUUUUCUUCCCAUUCGAAACGUGGAUUCAGAGCCGUGAUGAAUGUCUUGGAGCCUAACAGCUCCCUCAGCAAAAUGGCUGAGGAAAGGCAUCGAGUUUUUUCCUUAGCUCUGGAUCUCUAAGGACAACACUGAAUGUUCAAGUCUAAGUUUAAAGGGGCCCUGGAGUUCCACUCCUGCCCCAGCAUGCAUGACCUCUGGGAAAGGCUUUCGCGUCAAUCCUGGACAGGCCCUGGGUCAUGACCUCUGAUGGUGCCCUUUCACCGCCUGUCAGGCUCUGGUUUUGACCGCUAAGGUUUGUGGAUUUCCUUUAAACUGGAGGCACCCUAACAAAGCUUUGCUUCCUUCUCCUGCAGCAUCCGCAGGCCUGGGGGGCCGGAGCCGAUCAAGAUGGAGAUGUAAAUUACUCAUUUCCUCUCCAGGUGGAGCGCAGUCUACCUAUGAAUGGGUUGUUUUACAAAUCAUCUGCAAGGCUUGUUCUAAAACAGGAUGUCUUUACACUAGAAACAGGACUCUGUAUAUGGUUCCCUUCCCAGAUCAGACUCCCAGUCCCAAAGUGCAAUCUUCAAAGCCUAUGAUUACAUAAACCAGGGAACGCUGGCUACCCACCCCGGCACAUCCACUUCCUCUCGCCUUCAAAAAAAAGAAUCCCCAUUUUAGCUGGGCACACUGAGAUUGGUUGUGAAAGAAAACACGUCUUCAGCACCUGAGCGGGGUCGUGCGAUGAUAAGUGGGAUACAAGGGAAUGGUUACAGGGACUUCCCCAAAAGCUGCUUAAAGGGAAAUGCCCUUUUUGCUCUUCAGUGCCAUGCCACACAAACAUGAGAGCUGGCGCUUCAGCAGCCACUUUGGAAGCUAUGGGCUCAGAUGGUAGACUGGAAGGACCUUGCUCCUAGUGGUUGUAGAGCUGUUCCCAAGCCCUGCCUAACCCCUCCCACAGCCUUUCCACAUAGGAAAGAAACAAAUGCUUUUAUUUAAUCUCCUAAUAUUGGAGAGUUUUUCUACUGUAUACAGCUGCACGUCCUUCUUAACUGAUGCGUCCGUGAAUCAGUGUCUUUAUGAGAAAACGCAACGUCUAUAAUACACCUAUUCAUGAACCCUCUCCGGCAGUAAUGACGAAAAGAACACGGACACACCUCCGAAAAAGAAUAGGCAGGGACACUGGAACACUUCAUGGUGGACACACAUGGUAUCUGUCAGCAGCCACAAUGUUGCAGAAGGGAAGUAUGAAUUACUGCCCCCCCAUGAGGAAAUUGAGGUUCAAAUAGCUUAAGAAUCUGCUAAAUAGCCAAGUAAGAGUUAACAUAUUUGGCAUGAGACAGACAUAGAUAUGGUAACAGGUAGGAAAUGCUAACAUACAUAAAGGUACCUACCAUACAGCUGAUACUCCAAAGAUACCAGUUCCCAUCUGAAUUUUUAGAAAGCCCUUCCUGCAACACAAAAUACAUACUCCUCCCCCCCCAAUGUUUAAGAUAUGCCUUAUCAGAUUAUUUUAUUUGGGAGGUCACAUACACAGACACCUGCCAUCAUUUAAUUUAAAAAGCUCUGGAGGCCCUGCCAACACCCCCUUAAUCUUGAACUUCUAGCCUCGGGCUGUAAGAGACCGUGACAUUUUAUUUCUGUCGUAUUAGGCAGGUUUAGAGCAUCAAAGAGCACUGACUAGUGAAAGUGUAAUACUGAGAUCUGAUUCUGUGUAUCUGAACAGCAGCACUCUCUCUUUCGAGGGUGCUACGCAUCGGACCUCUAGUUUUCGCUCGCCGCCACCACUGCUCUGCGGUCCAUGCCUCAACUCCUCGGAGGCUGCACCAGGCUCUGGGGUGCUGGCUGAGAUCUCUGACCAAUGCUCUGCUUCAUCCGUCACUUAAGUGAGAAAAGCUGUGUCAAAUAUACCAACAAACAAGGCUGCGAAUUAGAUCUGCGGACACGACUUGAUCUUACCCUGGAACUGUAAGCAAGCCUUGUACACAAUGGAAUCUUGUGUAUCUUUGCCUAAUUCUAAACUCCACGUUCUAUUCUUCCGAAAUUAACAUAAUCAAGUUUAGUAUACUUAUGCUCAGAAUGCCAAAUGAAUACACACGACAUCGUCGGUACUCCAGAGUCUCACGAGCCUGGGAUGAGGAAGCCCAAUUACGAUCAUUUAAAGACGGAAAGAAUAAUUUCCUGAAAUUGCCUGCAAGAAAAAGAGAUUUUCUUCCCCUGGAAAAAUUCACAAUAUGCCAUAAAUGAGACACUUGUCUCUUGAGCUUCCAUACAAUUUAGUUAAAAACAAAAAAACCUCCCACAGAAUCAGUAAAAUAGUCUCAACUCAUAUGAACUUCAAAUUUAUAGAACUUUAUGAAAAAUUCACAAAUAUCAAAAUGUUCUCAAUGUAAAUGAGUUAAUCUCAAUAACUCAGCAUUUCCCUUGGUAGACUUAGCACUUCUCCUACCAGGCGAUAAAAGGAUUUGGAUUUGGGAUUUUUAUGUGUGUGCUAUAUUUAAUAUAUAUACAUCAGAUUUCCCCAACCACCCAAAUGACUCCUAAAAAUACAUUACAUGGAACUAUAAGUCAAUCACACUGUUCGUCUAUCUCUUUGACAUUUAAAAUAUUUGGUAUUUUUCCAUUCAUUUUCCUGCUCAUAUGGAGACACAUGCUUACAGCAAAACAAGGACUUUUACAACUUCACAAUGAAAAGAUAAACAGCCCAAUUAUAACGUGGACCAAGGAUCUGAAUAGAUAUUUCUCCAAAAGUGUCAUAUCAUGACCAGUGAACACAUGAAAAGAUAUUAAAAUCACUAGCCAUGAGGGACCGUAAAGUCAAAAUCACAGUGAAUACCGCUUUCACGCCAACCAGGACCGCGGGAAUCAAGAAGAUCCACACUAAGAAGUACUGGCAAGGACAUGGAGAAGUUGGAAGCUUCAUACAUUGCUGACAAGACUGUCAAGUGGUGCAGCUGCUUCAGAAGCUCCCCAGCGGUGCAUCAAAGUGCUAAACAUAAAGUUACAUGUGACCCAGCAAUUCACUCCCAGGUAUACACCCGAGCAAACUGCAAACAUGUAUGUACACACAACCUGCAAUGCAUGAGUGUUAUUCACAAAAAGUGCACACAACCCCAAAGCCCAUCAAGUUGAUACCUGGAUAAAGAAAACGUGGCAUAUACCAUACAAUAGGAUAUGACCCGGCCAUUGAAAGAAUGAAGUACUAGUUCAUUCCACAACAAGAAUGGCUCUGGAAACAUGACGCUAAGUGAAAGAAGCCAGUUACCAAAGACUACUUACUGUGUUAUUCUGUUUAUAUGAAAUGUCCCGAAGAGACAAAUCCACAGAUACAGAAAGCAGAUUAGUGGUUGCCAGGGGUUGGGAGAAUGGAGAAAUGAAGACUGAUAAUGAGGAUGGAAUUUCAUUUAGGGGUGCUGAAAAAAAAUAUAUAUAUAUAUUUCUGUCUUUUCUAGGGCUGCACCCGUGGCAUAUGGAGGUUCCCAGGCUAGGGCUGUAAUGGGAGCUGUAGCCACCGGCCUAUGCCACAGCCACACAGGAUUCAAGCAGCGUCUGCGACCUACACCACAGCUCACAGCCACGCCGGAUCCUUAACCCACUGAGCAAGGCCAGGGAUCGAACCCACAACUCCAUGGUUCCUAGUCAGAUUCGUUAACCACUGAGCCAUGACGGGAACUC